This 497-nucleotide ribosomal RNA is filed under the name uncultured bacterium. Its description in RNAcentral is "partial 16S ribosomal RNA". It matches the Rfam family "Bacterial small subunit ribosomal RNA", at positions 28 to 507 of the family's 1533-position model. The record is from RNAcentral.
GAUGAACGCUGGCGGCGUGCCUAAUACAUGCAAGUCGAGCGAACAGACGAGGAGCUUUCUCCUCUUACGUUAGCGGCGGACGGGUGAGUAACACGUGGAUAACCUACCUAUAAGACUGGGAUAACUUCGGGAAACCGGAGCUAAUACCGGAUAAUAUAUUUAACCGCAUGGUUCAAUAGUGAAAGACGGGUUUGCUGUCACUUAUAGAUGGAUCCGCGCCGAAUUAGCUAGUUGGUAAGGUAACGGCUUACCAAGGGAACGAUGGGUAGCCGACCUGGGAGGUUGACCGGCAAAACUGGACGUGGGAAACGGCCCGGACCCCUACGGGAGGAGGAAGUAGGGAACCUUCGCCAAUGGGCGAAAGCCUGACGGAGAAACGCCGCGUGAGUGAUGAAGGUCUUCGGAUCGUAAAAUUCUGUUAUUAGGGAAGAAAAAAUGUGUAAGUAAAUAUGCACGUAUUGACGGUACCUAAUCAGAAAGCCACGGCUAACUACGUG